RNAcentral lists this ribosomal RNA (206 nucleotides) under uncultured bacterium. RNAcentral's name for it is "partial 16S ribosomal RNA". It matches the Rfam family "Bacterial small subunit ribosomal RNA", at positions 568 to 774 of the family's 1533-position model. The record is from RNAcentral.
CGUGUAGGCGGCCAAUCAGGUCUGUUGUGAAAACUGGAGGCUCAACCUCCAGACGUCGACAGAAACCGGUUGGCUAGAGUCCGGAAGAGGAGAGUGGAAUUCCUGGUGUAGCGGUGAAAUGCGCAGAUAUCAGGAAGAACACCAAUGGCGAAGGCAGCUCUCUGGGACGGUACUGACGCUGAGACGCGAAAGCGUGGGAGCGAACA